GUGCCCGUAGCUCAGCUGGAUAGAGCACCGGCCUUCUAAGCCGGGGGUCGUGGGUUCGAUUCCCGCCGGGCGCG
This 74-nucleotide transfer RNA is filed under the name Archangium sp. Its description in RNAcentral is "tRNA-Arg". It matches the Rfam family "tRNA". Rfam says of the family: Transfer RNA (tRNA) molecules are approximately 80 nucleotides in length. Their secondary structure includes four short double-helical elements and three loops (D, anti-codon, and T loops). Lineage: Bacteria; Pseudomonadati; Myxococcota; Myxococcia; Myxococcales; Archangiaceae. The record is from RNAcentral. RNAcentral also lists the same sequence under 1 other name.